GAUGAACGCUAGCGGCAGGCCUAACACAUGCAAGUCGAGGGGCAUCAUGGCGUAGCAAUACGCUGAUGGCGACCGGCGCACGGAUGCGUAACGCGUAUGGAACCUACCCACCGCAGGGGGAUAACCCGCCGAAAGGCGGACUAAUACCCCAUGGUUCCCCGACCCUGCCUGGGGUUGGGGGUAAAGCCUACGGGCGGCGGUGGAUGGCCCUGCGUGCCAUUAGCUGGCUGGUGGGGUAACGGCCCACCAGGGCGACGAUGGCUAGGGGGUCUGAGAGGACGAUCCCCCACACUGGUACUGAGACACGGACCAGACUCCUACGGGAGGCAGCAGUGAGGAAUAUUGGUCAAUGGGCGAGAGCCUGAACCAGCCAAGUCGCGUGAAGGAGAAGGUUCAUGGAUUGUAAACUUCUUUUGUAAGGGAAUAAAAAGGUUACGUGUAACUUAUUGUAAUGUACUUUACGAAUAAGGAUCGGCUAACUCCGUG
RNAcentral lists this ribosomal RNA (486 nucleotides) under uncultured bacterium. RNAcentral describes it as "bacterial SSU rRNA". It matches the Rfam family "Bacterial small subunit ribosomal RNA", at positions 28 to 507 of the family's 1533-position model. The record is from RNAcentral.